Molecule: long non-coding RNA, 1111 nt
Organism: Vidua chalybeata
Lineage: Eukaryota; Metazoa; Chordata; Aves; Passeriformes; Viduidae
Exons: 2
Source: RefSeq, a predicted model, not a curated record
UCUCCCUUCCACGAGUGCUGCCUGCCUGCGGGCCUGGCGUGCCCCGAGCCCUUCGCCGUGACCCGCAGUGACACCUGUGUCAUCAAGUACCCUGACACCGUGGUGGACAUCGUGGAGCCCGACUUUCCCCCCUACUCCGUCAUCUACCCCGGGCCCACACUGACCACCUUCCCCCAGCAGACCCUGGUGGGCUCCACGGCCUUGCUGGACAUCAGGAACUUCCUGGGCUCCCAGGGAUUCCAUGGGUUUGGGGGCCAACCUAAACCCUGCCUGGAUAUCUGUGGAUAGACUGAAAAGCACAACUGAGCGGUCAGACAGAGCCCGACUAAAGUUUAUGGAUAAUGGAUUGUAGAAGUGCCGAGCUCCCGAGGUUCCCAUGGAGUCCAUAAAUCCAGGGAUUCCUGGCACUAGACCUGCCCAAGGACUAGAAUUUCCAAACUACGCGAAAACUGAAAUUUCUCUAUUGACCUCAUUCCAAAUUAGGGCAAACCAAAGGCCAGCAUUUUCCAAGAAACCAGAAUUAAAAAAAAUAUAUAUAUAUAUCUUUUUUUUCUUUUUUUUUUUUUUUUGGUUUGCUAAAAGCUGUGUGUCAAUAAAUUCGUUUUUAUGCCAACACAGAUGUUUUAUUAUCAAUUUCUCUCAAAAUAAAAAAAUUACAAAAUCCACCCAAACAAUAUGACUGAAAAUCUUGGAUUCUAAAAUGAAAUUUUACCCAAAUUCCUCUUCAUUUGCAAAUUUUGCUGAACCAGCAUUUAAAAAGAAAGAAAUAAAUCAGCUCUACUUGGCAUUUCUGAAAAUUAGGAAUUUGUAGCUCCUUGCUGUGCUUUCUUCCUGCUUAGUCCCAUUGUGUAACGCUCUCCCAGCUUCUUUUCCUUUCUUUAUCUCAUUUAAUGAAAGCCAAGGAAAAAAAAAAAAAAACAAAAUCAAAAUAUAUACAGCAAUUGUAAGAGCAAAUCUCUUUGCAAAAUCCUUCUGCUAAAAUCUGUGAAAAUCAUGGGAGUGGGGAUUUGUUGUGGACCCUCCUGGAAUUCUUUGAUUUUAUCCUUUCCAGAGAGUUUUGCACUUGUAAAUUGAGCUUCUCGUUCCCAUUAAAUGCUGUCAUGAAGAUGCA